This 971-nucleotide long non-coding RNA is filed under the name Salmo salar (Atlantic salmon). RNAcentral describes it as "lncRNA (ENSSSAG00000121088.1)". Lineage: Eukaryota; Metazoa; Chordata; Actinopteri; Salmoniformes; Salmonidae. The record is from RNAcentral.
GUGCGAGAGGAGGGGUGUGUGUAAAUGGAAUGUGUCAGGGCUCUAAUUUGGUAUGGAGCUAUUUCACACUGGGCUGCAGCAUGCUGCAGACUGGUGAAUAACUACUGUGGUGGUGAGAUCAUACACUCUGACUGGAACAACUGAUCUAGGAUAAGUGAGCCCGGUGCAGACUGAUGUCUGCUCCAGCACUGUGAAAAGGACAACUGAACCUUUUCAGUCAGGAUCUACGCUCUCUACUCACAUCAUCACAUAGGUAAAGGAAUGGAAUGGACAGCAGACGGCAGAGAGUCCCUUGAGCUGAUGAGAGUGACACCAGCGCUUCCCCAGGGCUCCAGGGAUGCUGUCCCAGCACAUAGUAAAUUCUGCCUGCUCUGACUCUGGUCCCUGUCUCCCUGACUUCUCGUCAGUCCUGCUACUCUGCCCUGGAUUCCCCACUCUAUGCUCCCUUCAAUUCCCCUCCGGACCUGCUUACCCUGUCCCAACACCUCUCGCUCCAGCCUCAGCCUCCGCACCUGGUUUCCGGCAACCCGCCCGAGCUUCCCCUGGCCCGCACUCAAUCUUCCCCCCGUGCUUCAAUAAAUACCUUGGUUACCUCAUCCCAGUCUCCUCGUGUGAGUCUGCUCUUGGGUUCAGCUGUUCCGCUCCGUGUGACACUCCUAUAAGUGCAGAGGAGGCGGAGAGGGCCCUGUCUGAGCAUGUGUAUAUUAAGAUGUAUAUUAUGGGCAUGAUUAAAAUCGGUUUAUUUCUCAGAACAUUGUUUUACCGUCAUUCAUGCAGGGCUACAACUGCUUAUGUACACUUUGCAGAAAGCUAGUAAGGUAGGGAGGGCAGCAGAAAUGGACUGGCCAUUGGGCCGUUCGGGAAAAGGUCAGAUGGGCUGGUCCAUAUGUAGCUCAGUGGGCCUGUCUAAAUUGUUGUUUUGUGUGUGUAUCAGACCUGGGAUAACUACAGAUUUUAAUAUGCUUCGUGAG